Molecule: ribosomal RNA, 1371 nt
Filed under: uncultured bacterium
Lineage: Bacteria
Description: bacterial SSU rRNA
Rfam family: Bacterial small subunit ribosomal RNA
Source: RNAcentral
GACGAACGCUGGCGGCGUGCCUAAUACAUGCAAGUAGAACGCUGAAGAGAGGAGCUUGCUCUUCUUGGAUGAGUUGCGAACGGGUGAGUAACGCGUAGGUAACCUGCCUGGUAGCGGGGGAUAACUAUUGAAAACGAUAGCUAAUACCGCAUAAUAGCAGUUAUUGCAUGAUAACUGUUUGAAAGGUGCCAAUGCAUCACUACCAGAUGGACCUGCGUUGUAUUAGCUAGUUGGUGGGGUAACGGCUCACCAAGGCGACGAUACAUAGCCGACCUGAGAGGGUGAUCGGCCACACUGGGACUGAGACACGGCCCAGACUCCUACGGGAGGCAGCAGUAGGGAAUCUUCGGCAAUGGACGGAAGUCUGACCGAGCAACGCCGCGUGAGUGAAGAAGGUUUUCGGAUCGUAAAGCUCUGUUGUAAGAGAAGAACGAGUGUGAGAGUGGAAAGUUCACACUGUGACGGUAUCUUACCACAAAGGGACGGCUAACUACGUGCCAGCAGCCGCGGUAAUACCUAGGUCCCGAGCGUUGUCCGGAUUUAUUGGGCGUAAAGCGAGCGCAGGCGGUUAGAUAAGUCUGACGUUAAACGCUGUGGCCUAUGCAUAGUACGCUUGGAAAACUGAUUAACUUUACUGCAAGAAGGGAGAGUGGAAUUACAAGGGUAGCGGUUGAAAUGCGUAGAUAUAUGGGGGAACACCGGUGGCGAAAGCGGCUCUCUGGCCUGUAACUGACGCUGAAGGCUCGAAAGCGUGGGGAGCAAACAGGAUUAGAUACCCUGGUAUUCCCCACCGUAAACGAUGAGUGCUAGGUGUUAGACCCUUUCCGGGGUUUAGUGCCGUAGCUAACGCAUUAAGCACUCCGCCUGGGGAGUACGACCGCAAGGUUGAAACUCAAAGGAAUUGACGGGGGCCCGCACAAGCGGUGGAGCAUGUGGUUUAAUUCGAAGCAACGCGAAGAACCUUACCAGGUCUUGACAUCCCUCUGACCGCUCUAGAGAUAGAGCUUUCCUUCGGGACAGAGGUGACAGGUGGUGCAUGGUUGUCGUCAGCUCGUGUCGUGAGAUGUUGGGUUAAGUCCCGCAACGAGCGCAACCCCUAUUGUUAGUUGCCAUCAUUCAGUUGGGCACUCUAGCGAGACUGCCGGUAAUAAACCGGAGGAAGGUGGGGAUGACGUCAAAUCAUCAUGCCCCUCAUGACCUGGGCUACACACGUGCUACAAUGGCUGGUACAACGAGUCGCAAGCCGGUGACGGCAAGCUAAUCUCUUAAAGCCAGUCUCAGUUCGGAUUGUAGGCUGCAACUCGCCUACAUGAAGUCGGAAUCGCUAGUAAUCGCGGAUCAGCACGCCGCGGUGAAUACGUUCCCGGGCCU